This 440-nucleotide ribosomal RNA is filed under the name uncultured bacterium. RNAcentral's name for it is "partial 16S ribosomal RNA". It matches the Rfam family "Bacterial small subunit ribosomal RNA", at positions 338 to 795 of the family's 1533-position model. The record is from RNAcentral.
CCUACGGGAGGCAGCAGUGGGGAAUAUUGCACAAUGGGGGAAACCCUGAUGCAGCGACGCCGCGUGAGGGAAGAAGUAAUUCGUUAUGUAAAGCUCUAUCAGCAGGGAAGAAAAUGACGGUACCUGAGUAAGAAGCCACGGCUAACUACGUGCCAGCAGCCGCGGGAAUACGUAGGGGGCAAGCGUUAUCCGGAUUUACUGGGUGUAAAGGGAGCGUAGACGGGGGUGCAAGUCUGGAGUGGAAGGCGGGGGCUCAACCCCCGGACUGCUCGGGAUACUGUACGGCUGGAGUGCAGGAGAGGUAAGUGGAAUUCCUAGUGUAGCGGUGAAAUGCGUAGAUAUUAGGAGGAACACCAGUGGCGAAGGCGGCUUACUGGACUGUAACUGACGUUGAGGCUCGAAAGCGUGGGGAGCAAACAGGAUUAGAUACCCGAGUAGUC